AUUGAACGCUGGCGGCAGACCUAACACAUGCAAGUCGAACGGUAACAGGAAGCAGCUUGCUGCUUCGCUGACGAGUGGCGGACGGGUGAGUAAUGUCUGGGAAGCUGCCUGAUGGAGGGGGAUAACUACUGGAAACGGUAGCUAAUACCGCAUAAUGUCGCAAGACCAAAGGGGGGGACCUUCGGGCCUCUUGCCAUCGGAUGUGCCCAGAUGGGAUUAGCUUGUUGGUGGGGUAACGGCUCACCAAGGCGACGAUCCCUAGCUGGUCUGAGAGGAUGACCAGCCACACUGGAACUGAGACACGGUCCAGACUCCUACGGGAGGCAGCAGUGGGGAAUAUUGCACAAUGGGCGCAAGCCUGAUGCAGCCAUGCCGCGUGUAUGAAGAAGGCCUUCGGGUUGUAAAGUACUUUCAGCGGGGAGGAAGGGAGUAAAGUUAAUACCUUUGCUCAUUGACGUUACCCGCAGAAGAAGCACCGGCUAACUCCGUG
RNAcentral lists this ribosomal RNA (490 nucleotides) under uncultured bacterium. RNAcentral describes it as "partial 16S ribosomal RNA". It matches the Rfam family "Bacterial small subunit ribosomal RNA", at positions 30 to 507 of the family's 1533-position model. The record is from RNAcentral.